Molecule: non-coding RNA, 159 nt
Filed under: human gut metagenome
Source: RNAcentral
GGUUCCGGGGCUUAAAAAGGGAACGGGGUGAAAGUCCCCACGCGGAAACGGCGCUGUAAGUGUCGAUGCGUCCGGUUCGUCGGCGGAAGCCGGUCAUUGGGGAAACCUGAGAAGGCAGGACUGGACACGUUCGAGGCACAAGUCAGAAGACCUACAGGA